Transfer RNA from Ipomoea nil (Japanese morning glory), 72 nucleotides. It matches the Rfam family "tRNA". Rfam says of the family: Transfer RNA (tRNA) molecules are approximately 80 nucleotides in length. Their secondary structure includes four short double-helical elements and three loops (D, anti-codon, and T loops). Further hydrogen bonds mediate the characteristic L-shaped molecular structure. tRNAs have two regions of fundamental functional importance: the anti-codon, which is responsible for specific mRNA codon recognition, and the 3' end, to which the tRNAs corresponding amino acid is attached (by aminoacyl-tRNA synthetases). tRNAs cope with the degeneracy of the genetic code in two manners: having more than one tRNA (with a specific anti-codon) for a particular amino acid; and 'wobble' base-pairing, i.e. permitting non-standard base-pairing at the 3rd anti-codon position. The record is from Rfam. Lineage: Eukaryota; Viridiplantae; Streptophyta; Magnoliopsida; Solanales; Convolvulaceae.
GACUCCAUGGCUCAAUGGAUAUGGUGUUGGUCUACGAAACCAGAGAUUCUGGGUUCGAUCCCCAUAGAGUCG